RNAcentral lists this ribosomal RNA (465 nucleotides) under uncultured bacterium. Its description in RNAcentral is "partial 16S ribosomal RNA". It matches the Rfam family "Bacterial small subunit ribosomal RNA", at positions 28 to 507 of the family's 1533-position model. The record is from RNAcentral.
GACGAACGCUGGCGGCGUGCUUAACACAUGCAAGUCGUACGGUAAGGCCCUUUCGGGGGUCCACGAGUGGCGCACGGGUGAGUAACACGUGAGUAACCUGCCCACAACUUUGGGAUAACGCUAGGAAACUGGUGCUAAUACUGGAUAUGUGCUCCUGCUGCAUGGUGGGGGUUGGAAAGCUCCGGCGGUUGUGGAUGGACUCGCGGCCUAUCAGCUUGUUGGUGGGGUAGUGGCCUACCAAGGCGGCGACGGGUAGCCGGCCUGAGAGGGUGACCGGCCACAUUGGGACUGAGAUACGGCCCAGACGCCUACGGGAGGCAGCAGUGGGGAAUAUUGCACAAUGGGCGCAAGCCUGAUGCAGCAACGCCGCGUGCGGGAUGACGGCCUUCGGGUUGUAAACCGCUUUCAGCAGGGACGAAGCUUUUUGUGACGGUACCUGCAGAAGAAGCACCGGCUAACUACGUG